This is a long non-coding RNA of Protopterus annectens (West African lungfish), 432 nucleotides long. RefSeq lists it as uncharacterized. The transcript has 2 exons. Lineage: Eukaryota; Metazoa; Chordata; Ceratodontiformes; Protopteridae. The record is from RefSeq and is a predicted model, not a curated record.
GUGUGGGCACGCACAGGCGGAGAUGACCUGGGUUAAACAGAGGUCCGUAAAUGUGGUGCCAUUUACAAGUAAGGUCCACUCGGAUGGGUAACAAAAGAAACAGGGCACGGGAAUGCUUAAAGAAGAUCGCUGUAAUGUGAGAGAGAAUGAGUUUCUUUCAGUAAGUUAAGUCUCUAAACCAAGAUAUGAUGUUUUGUGUGGUGGGUACCUCUCAACUGUCCAGACUAUUGUAGAAUGUUCCUGGCUGGGUUUUCGUACACCACACCUUGCCUUACAAAGGACCAUGGCACAAUAUAGCUGCAUACUUCAUACAGGACUCCUGUUUUGCACACCACAGUCUAUCUCUGUGACCUUUUCCCAGAAACAUUACACCAUCUAUCACAUCCCCAAAAAUAAUUUAAGGAAUAAACCUUUGCUCCCUUGUAAACUAUA